This 1316-nucleotide long non-coding RNA is filed under the name Homo sapiens (human). RNAcentral's name for it is "PREDICTED lncRNA (TCONS_00132801)". The record is from RNAcentral. Lineage: Eukaryota; Metazoa; Chordata; Mammalia; Primates; Hominidae.
GAUGCCAUCCAGGCGCACGGCGGGUAUAGUGGUUCCGCAACCUUGGGAUGUUCGGCUGAGCGCCUGCCUAACAUGGGAGCGCCUGCCUAACCCUCCUGACUGGAGGGUCAGCGGCGGGGAGUCCUGGCCUUCAAUCGGCCAUCGCCACGGCAGAAACUGGGGCCCGGGCUGCGUCCAGGCCCUUCCCCGUCCGUCCACAGGUCUCAUGGGCGCCCGGACUGGGGCUGAUGUAGUUUCCCGACCUCUGACACAUAGGAUCUGGAGAUUAAAGCUGCUCUGCUAAUAAUUAGGUUCCCACCUCUCAAGAUCAUUAGGAGCUUCUUUUCCAAUUCCUCUGUUUUGCAUGCAUUGGAAGGAUCUGGAGCUCAGGACCCACUACCUCCCCGGCCCACUGCAAGCUUGAACAUUUGAUGGUGGACACCCCUCCCUGACUUUGUAUUAUGAUUCACAGGCUGCUCCCCAGAAUACUGAAGAAGAAACUCUAGGAGUGAGACCCAACAAUCUGUGUUUAACAAGUCCCCAGGCCCCUGGAUCCUCCUGGAAUCCCUGAUCCCUGUUGCUCCCUGGCGGAGUUUUCUAGUCCCUCUUACUUGAAGCAUGUCUUUCAGAGCCCGGCACCACCCAAGUUGGGUAUCUGCUACACCUCUAUGGUAUUUUUUUCACCUCAUAUCAUACCUUCCUCCCUCACUGGACUUCAGUGUGGGACCUGCAGGUCUCAGGCCUUCUGGGAAGUCCCAGCUUUUCUUGAAUGUUCUCUCUCUCUGGCCAGCUCAGGCUGGAGCAGUGGGUGUUGGUGCCAUCCUGUGGCUAUAGGUGAUAAGCCGGCUGUUCUUCACUGACCUGGUCUUACCUUGAACCCUGGAGUUCUCACAUGCAUGGAUUUAAAUGCUGUGUCUUUCUAAGGGCACAUUAUGGCCAUUUUCCUUAUCUCCCUCCCAAGGGGCUGUUUCCUGUAUUUAUUGACUCCCUGUUUAAAAAAAAUAUAUGUAUAUAUAGACAAAUUGGAUUGUACCCCAUAAACUGCAUGUUUUAAAAAUACUUCAAAGAAUAGUUUUUCAUUUUUUUCUUGCUGGUUUUUAUGUAUCUUCUAAAUUGUAUAUAUUUAUGGGGUAUAAAAUGAUGUUGUGAUUUUUCAAUACAGUGUGGAAUGAGAAUCAAAUUAACCUAUCCGUUACCUCAAGUACUUGACUUUUUUUGUGAUGAGAAGGCUGUUUAUCACUUUCACUCACCAGCUCCUGCUGUCUUCCAUGCUGGGGACAGGAAAGGCUCCACGCUUGACUUUCCCUCCUGUUUUCUUAUCUGCUGUCAACCCCUGA